UUAAUGCAGUUUGAUUAGGGGAGGAGAGAGAGAAGAGCAAAGACACUAGGGAGUUAGUGGGCAGGGAAAUGAAAGGAUUGUGUCCUUCUGUUUAAGAGCUUAGAGAAAAGGCCCAUAGGACCUGGAGGAAAAAGAAAGUGAAAGAAAUGUAAGGGACAGAGCGUUCCCCACACUGGUGACUGCAAAACUGAAAAUUGUCAAAAAGAAGACAAAUGGGAAAAAACGAAGAGCCCAGGAUUAGUUUCCCAUGUAGAAGAAUAGUUGUAUCAACUGGAUGGAGCUUUAAUCAAUGGAGAAGGAAUGGACUCUUCAAAGAAUGGUUCCUGACAACCCGCUACUCAUACAGAAAGGCAUUGAAAACCAGAGAUGAAUGAUGAUGACUUUGUUGAAGAAGGGAAGGAAGACUAGAAGAUCUUACUCCUUGAAAAAGCUUUUUUUUUUUUGAGGCUGUGUUAUCCAGCUUUUCACACCAAGUCUAUAGAGAGAGCAGAUGUUUUUAUUCCCAUGUUACUAAUAAAGAAACUGAGUUAUUGAAGAGCUUAAAAACUUGUCCAGGGCACCAAAAUAAUCAAUGAAAUGGCUGAACUAGAACCUUGUCUGAAGUCCCAGAUUAAGAAUCUUUAUGAUACAAAAUGGGGCAAAAGAAAGUUUACAGUUGUUCAUAUGGAAAAUAAUACAAUUAUUAAUAAAUAAUCAUACAAGAAUAAAUUGUUUUGCAUACUUACAACUAUAAACCUAUUUUGCCCCACCCUGUAUGAUGAACUGAGUGUUGUGUGUGGCAUUGUAAACCAUGGGUCCCCAGGGGAGCAAUUAGAGGGCUCCACCACUAUAGUGGACUGAAUUGUCUCCCAAAAAAGGUAUGUUC
Long non-coding RNA from Phyllostomus hastatus (greater spear-nosed bat), 865 nucleotides. RefSeq lists it as uncharacterized. The transcript is spliced from 3 exons. The record is from RefSeq and is a predicted model, not a curated record. Lineage: Eukaryota; Metazoa; Chordata; Mammalia; Chiroptera; Phyllostomidae.